AUUGAACGCUGGCGGCAUGCUUUACACAUGCAAGUCGAACGGCAGCAUGGGCUUCGGCCUGAUGGCGAGUGGCGAACGGGUGAGUAAUACAUCGGAACGUACCUGAUAGUGGGGGAUAACUGACCGAAAGGUUAGCUAAUACCGCAUACGCCCCGAGGGGGAAAGUGGGGGACCAGCAAUGGCCUCACGCUAACAGAGCGGCUGAUGGCUGAUUAGCUAGUUGGUGAGGUAAAGGCUCACCAAGGCGACGAUCAGUAGCGGGUCUUAGAGGCCGAUGCGCCACACUGGAACUGAGACACGGUCCAGACUCCUACGGGAGGCAGCAGUGGGGAAUCUUGGACAAUGGGCGCAAGCCUGAUCCAGCAAUGCCGCGUGGGUGAAGAAGGCCUUCGGGUUGUAAAGCCCUUUUGUUUGGGAGCAAAUCCUAACGGUUAAUACCUGUUGGGGAUGAGAGUACCAAAAGAAUCAGCACCGGCUAACUACGUGCCAGCCGCCGCCGUAA
RNAcentral lists this ribosomal RNA (502 nucleotides) under uncultured bacterium. RNAcentral's name for it is "partial 16S ribosomal RNA". It matches the Rfam family "Bacterial small subunit ribosomal RNA", at positions 30 to 523 of the family's 1533-position model. The record is from RNAcentral.